RNAcentral lists this ribosomal RNA (119 nucleotides) under uncultured bacterium. Its description in RNAcentral is "partial 16S small subunit ribosomal RNA". It matches the Rfam family "Bacterial small subunit ribosomal RNA", at positions 335 to 453 of the family's 1533-position model. The record is from RNAcentral.
ACUCCUACGGGAGGCAGCAGUGGGGAAUUUUGCGCAAUGGGGGAAACCCUGACGCAGCAACGCCGCGUGGAGGAUGAAGUCCCUUGGGUCGUAAACUCCUUUCGACCGGGACGAUAAUG